CUACGGGGUGCAGCAGUGGGGAAUAUUGGGCAAUGGGCGCAAGCCUGACCCAGCAACGCCGCGUGAGGGAAGAAGGUUCUCGGAUUGUAAACCUCUGUCCUUGGGGACGAAGAAAGUGACGGUACCCAAGGAGGAAGCUCCGGCUAACUACGUGCCAGCAGCCGCGGUAAUACGUAGGGAGCAAGCGUUGUCCGGAAUUACUGGGCGUAAAGGGUGCGUAGGCGGCAUAUUAAGUCAGGUGUGAAAUAUUCGGGCUCAACCCGAAGGGUGCAUUUGAAACUGGUAUGCUUGAGUGUGAGAGAGGAAAGUGGAAUUCCUAGUGUAGCGGUGAAAUGCGUAGAUAUUAGGAGGAACACCAGUGGCGAAGGCGACUUUCUGGCUCAUAACUGACGCUGAGGCACGAAAGCGUGGGUAGCAAACAGGAUUAGAUACCCGUGUAGUC
Molecule: ribosomal RNA, 442 nt
Filed under: uncultured bacterium
Lineage: Bacteria
Description: partial 16S ribosomal RNA
Rfam family: Bacterial small subunit ribosomal RNA
Source: RNAcentral